RNAcentral lists this ribosomal RNA (326 nucleotides) under uncultured eukaryote. Its description in RNAcentral is "partial 18S ribosomal RNA". It matches the Rfam family "Eukaryotic small subunit ribosomal RNA", at positions 1470 to 1796 of the family's 1831-position model. The record is from RNAcentral.
CCCUUAGAUGUCCUGGGCCGCACGCGCGCUACACUGAUGCAUUCAACGAGUUUUACCUUGGCCGAGAGGCCUGGGCAAUCUUUUAAACCUGCAUCGUGAUAGGGAUAGAUUAUUGCAAUUAUUAAUCUUGAACGAGGAAUUCCUAGUAAACGCAAAUCAUCAAUUUGCAUUGAUUACGUCCCUGCCCUUUGUACACACCGCCCGUCGCACCUACCGAUUGGAUGGUCCGGUGAAGCCUCGGGAUUGUGGUUCUUGCCGCUUUAUUGUGGCGUGACCGCGAGAACUUGUCUAAACCUUAUCAUCUAGAGGAAGGUGAAGUCGUAACA